AAUAGAUACCCGGGUAGUCCACGCCGUAAACGAUGAGUGCUAGGUGUUAGGGGGGUUCCGCCCCUUAGUGCUGCAGCUAACGCAUUAAGCACUCCGCCUGGGGAGUACGGUCGCAAGACUGAAACUCAAAGGAAUUGACGGGGGCCCGCACAAGCGGUGGAGCAUGUGGUUUAAUUCGAAGCAACGCGAAGAACCUUACCAGGUCUUGACAUCCUCUGCCAACCCUAGAGAUAGGGCGUUCCCCUUCGGGGGACAGAGUGACAGGUGGUGCAUGGUCGUCGUCAGCUCGUGUCGUGAGAUGUUGGGUUAAGUCCCGCAACGAGCGCAACCCUUGAUCUUAGUUGCCAGCAUUCAGUUGGGCACUCUAAGGUGACUGCCGGUGACAAACCGGAGGAAGGUGGGGAUGACGUCAAAUCAUCAUGCCCCUUAUGACCUGGGCUACACACGUGCUACAAUGGAUGGUACAAAGGGCUGCAAGACCGCGAGGUCAAGCCAAUCCCAUAAAACCAUUCUCAGUUCGGAUUGUAGG
RNAcentral lists this ribosomal RNA (529 nucleotides) under uncultured bacterium. Its description in RNAcentral is "bacterial SSU rRNA". It matches the Rfam family "Bacterial small subunit ribosomal RNA", at positions 777 to 1304 of the family's 1533-position model. The record is from RNAcentral.